This 69-nucleotide transfer RNA is filed under the name Bavayia exsuccida. RNAcentral's name for it is "tRNA-Ala". The record is from RNAcentral. Lineage: Eukaryota; Metazoa; Chordata; Lepidosauria; Squamata; Diplodactylidae.
GAGGCUUUAGCUUAAUUAAAGUGUCUGAGUUGCAUUCAGGAKAUGUAUACUAAAGUUGUGCAGGUCUUC